Molecule: RNA transcript, 2962 nt
Organism: Camelus dromedarius (Arabian camel)
Lineage: Eukaryota; Metazoa; Chordata; Mammalia; Artiodactyla; Camelidae
Gene: ASTE1
Gene name: asteroid homolog 1
Exons: 4
Source: RefSeq, a predicted model, not a curated record
CCGGUUUGGGGGUUGGACUCACGUGUCAGGGUUUCCAGGGCUCUACCGGCUCCUGCGGUCUUGUGAUGGAGGUGCUGGUCCCCUGGAAGGACGAAGCAGGUGGGCGCUGCCGCUGCGCGUCCGAGAGGGGUGGUGUCUGAGAGCUGUGCUCGACGACACGGAUCAAAGCUUUUGUGCGCCCUUCUCCUGUCUAGCCCGAAUCUACUCUGCAGGGUCCUGCAGUCGUCUUAGGAUGAGUUGCCGCAGUCCCUGCCCGCAUUUGCUUUACGAGACAGUCUCACGGAGGAAUGGGUACUACCCAGGCAGCCUCCCUCCCUGUCCAAAGAUCGGACUCCACGAAACCACUGAGUUUGUGCCUUAUAACAUAUGGGAAAAGCAAGAGAGAAUGAAAAAGCUCUCAGCCAGCUGGGGUUGCCUGAGAAUCUAGGUAAGAACUGAGACUCUGACUCCAAAUAUGUUAUGUGUAAAGAACUCUUCAUAACAUUGGCUGUUGAUUUGAUGCUACUGGAAACUGACGUGGUCCCCUGCAACCGACAUAGACUGAAAGUGUGUUCUGUUUAAAACAGGCAAUUUUUCAGACAGUCAUGGGUAUCCGAGGACUAAUGAGUUUUGUGGAAGAUCACAGUAAUGAGUUCUUCACCGAUUUGAAGUUGCGAGACACAAAAAUUAUCAUUGAUGGCUAUGCCCUCUUCCACCGGCUUUGUUUCAGUUCAGACUUGGAUCUCCAGUAUGGAGGGGACUAUGAUUCUUUUGCAGAUGUUGUACAAAAAUUCUUUGAAUCACUAUUUGCAUGUAAGAUCUGUCCCUAUGUUGUGUUAGAUGGAGGAUGUGAUAUUUCAGAUAAAAAGCUAACAACGUUAAAGGAUCGUGCUAGAGAGAAGAUCCAAAUGGCCCACUCACUCUCUGUGGGCAGCGGUGGGUAUGUGUGUCCCUUGCUCAUCCGGGAAGUAUUCAUCCAGGUUCUGAACAGGCUGCAGGUGCCUUUCGUCCAGUGCUUUUCAGAAGCAGACCGGGACAUUAUGACUCUGGCUAAUCACUGGAACUGCCCCGUGUUGUCGUCGGAUAGUGACUUUUGCAUUUUUGACCUGAAAGGUGGGUUUUGCCCAUUGAACAGCUUUCAGUGGAGAAACGUGAGCACAAUUAAGGGCACCGGAGACCGCUACAUCCCUGCCAAGUGCUUUUCACUUGAUGCACUCUGCCGUCACUUCAGCAACAUGAAUAAAGCUCUGCUACCUCUCUUGGCAGUGCUGUGCGGAAAUGACCACGUUAACCUGCCUGUCGUGGAGACAUUCCUCAGUAAAGUACGCCUUCCCCCCGGAGCUGCCGGUUCUAAGGGGAGGAGACACCACCGGGUGCUGGGACUGCUGAACUGGUUGUCUCACUUUGCUGGCCCUGCCGAAGCACUCAACCAGGUUCUGAAACAGCUCCCCAAGAAGAGUCGAGGAGAUGUCAGGGAGCUCCUGUGCUGCUCCAUGGAGGAGUACCUGCAGUCCCAGGUGAAGCUGCAGGACUUCUUCCAGCAUGGUGCCUACUCCUGCCCGGACGCCUGCGGUCUGGGUCUCCCGCAGUGGGUGCUAGCGGCCUUGGCCAGAGGCCAGCUGUCCCCCUUCAUCAGCGAUGCUUUGGUGCUGAGACGGACCAUUCUGCACACACAGGUGGAAAACAUGCAGCAACCAAACGCCCACAGAGUCUCUCUGCCCAUCCGGCAGGUCAUCUAUGGGCUUCUGGCGAAUGCUUCCCCCCGUCUGGAAGACACGUCUGGGAACGCCCCGCCUCCUCAGCCUCUGGCUUUCAGGGAGGUGGAGAGGUUUCAUAAAAACAUCAAAACAUCAAUUGUUGCUGCAGUAGAACUGCCCAAGGAUCAUUGUGACUUAAGCAGAUUGACCGAGCUCUCAGUGGCGAGCCGGCAGGCCCUCCUGUUAGAAGCGCUGAAGGUAAGGCCAGCUGUCCUGGACCCCGUCCCCGCCUCCUUGAAGUUGCCUAUCGCUGUCAGCUGCUACUGGUUGCAGCAGGCGGAGGCCAAGGUGAGACUGCAUCACCUCCAGGCCCUGCUGCUGGGGAUGCUGCUGGGGCCCCUGCGCACUGUGGCCCACGGCCCUGGUAGGUGUCUGGGGAUCCCAGGGGUGAGUUUCCUCAUGCUACUUGUGUACAGUCAGAAGUUUAAACAGACAGACAGAAAGGUGGCCUCAGACUACUUCAUCAGUUCUGUCAGAGCCUCCAAGUGGAGGCACCGGAGUAAGCGCCCGUUCCUCGAGGAGGAACUUGAGCACUUCCUGGUGCCGGCCAGAGCCGGAGGGCUGGACCCUGAGGGCUCGGCUGUGAGGCCGCGUCCCCCACUCUGUGCCCAUGCUCCCGUCUGCCGGGUGUGCCUGUGCCACCUGUGGUGGCUUUGUGUCCCCGUCUCCAGAGCAGCAGCCGCACCAAUGGGAAUGUCUGCACAGCUGCCCCUCGGGGAGACUUCCCCCGACCCACAAUCACAGUAAACAUUCUUGCUGUUUUCCCUUUUUCCUCCACUAUAAGUUUCAAUUAGUAUGUAAGUAGUGGUGGUAGAAAUUGUAACUUCUCUAUUAGGGAAACGGAUGUUAGGCAGUUCCGCCUUCAGCAGAGUGUCGGUGCACUGGGGCGCUUCAGCGCUCGUUACAGGACUGUGAGCGCCCCUGCGCUGCGUCUCACCUGUGGGUGUAGUAGUGGUCACAUUCCAGAACCGCACUGCUGACGUGACAGCUGCUGGCCACACGUGGCUGUUUAAAGUGAAUUAAAACCCAGCUUCCCGGUACAAGGGCUGCGCAUCCAGUGUGCGAGGCCGCCAUAUCAGGCGCCCAGACGAGGCGGGCCAGCGCUGGGUCGGUGCCCUGGCGCUGUGCGAGGAGCUGCAGGGGGCCAGGGCGCCGCCGGGCCCGGGGCUGGACCUGGACGCGGCCCACACCUUCUGCCAGUGGCAGUGCUGUCUGCAGAUGGGGCU